CCCCUUCAAUUCCGGGGGAAACCGGACUAUAUCAGGCUUGUUCCCGGCAACGGGAACUAUGGUGAUAAACGCGCACGUAAUACGCGGAUCGGACCCGGGGGCGGUACCCGGCGGCUCCACCAACACCCCGUUCAUUGGCGGGCGAUGGGGCCGAAACAGGAUCGACGGACGUCUAAAGGUGUUUGCUUUUACCCGGUGAGGUACCACCGUUAUCGGUCCGACAUGUACAGUUGCCAAUGACAACCGUGCUCCGGUGGCGCUCGCAGCGUAAGCUGUUCGCAAAACCGAUCUUAAGCCCUGUCCUCUAGCAAGGCCAGGCGGGGUUCGCAGGCACCUGGCAACAGAAGCCUGCACU
Molecule: transfer-messenger RNA, 355 nt
Filed under: Paroceanicella profunda
Lineage: Bacteria; Pseudomonadati; Pseudomonadota; Alphaproteobacteria; Rhodobacterales; Paracoccaceae
Description: Alphaproteobacteria transfer-messenger RNA
Rfam family: Alphaproteobacteria transfer-messenger RNA
About the family: Bacterial tmRNA, also known as 10Sa RNA or SsrA, is named for its dual tRNA and mRNA-like properties.
Source: Rfam by way of RNAcentral